This is an RNA transcript of Mus musculus (house mouse), 8805 nucleotides long. It is a transcript of the gene named SLIT-ROBO Rho GTPase activating protein 1, with no coding region annotated. NCBI's taxonomy places the organism in Eukaryota, Metazoa, Chordata, Mammalia, Rodentia, Muridae. The transcript is spliced from 22 exons. The record is from RefSeq and is marked validated.
GCGGAGAAAGAGCCGAGGCGCCGGCGACCGAGGCAGCGGAGGACCCUCGCGGCGCCGGCUCCAGAUCCGCGAACUCCGCGGGGCUGACCGGGGCGCGUCCGAGCCUCGCCGCCGCCGCCGCCCUUCGGGUCCCCCCGAUCGCACCCGCGUGGGAACUGCCAUCCCUUCGGCCUGCGGGGCGGCGGCAGCGGCGGCAGCAUCCCAGCCCCGGGCGCCGGGCAGGAAGGGAGGCGGCGGCGGCCGGCGGGGCGCGACCCCCGCGCGGGUCUCAACAAUGGUGCGCGACGCUCGGGCGAUCCCCGCGUCCGCCCCGCGGCCGUAGAGGAAGCGGCCGGGAGACGCCCCCCGCCCCCAGCUCGCCCGAGUUUGCUCGGCUGGCCUCCCGGGCUGGGGCUCCCGCUCGCCAGCGCCCAGGGCGGCUCAGCCCGGAGCAUGGUGCCGGCGCCCGGCUCGCUCUAAUCGCUCCUCUCCCUCCUCCUCUCGCUCCUCCCGUCGCUCCGGUCCCUCCCGUCCCUCCCGCGGGUGCUGCCUCUGGCUUCUCUGCGAGAGGGAGUUACAACUCUCUGCUUCUCCACGGAGACUGGCCGGUGACCACCCGACAAGAACUUGCCCAUUGGAAAGCAAGCCCGGAACAGCCGGAGAAUGUCCACCCCGAGCAGAUUCAAGAAGGACAAAGAGAUCAUAGCCGAGUAUGAAAGUCAAGUCAAAGAAAUCCGAGCCCAGCUGGUAGAACAACAAAAAUGCCUGGAGCAGCAGACAGAGAUGCGAGUUCAGCUGCUCCAGGACCUACAAGAUUUCUUCCGGAAAAAAGCCGAAAUUGAGACGGAAUAUUCUCGGAACCUGGAGAAGCUGGCAGAAAGGUUCAUGGCCAAAACAAGAAGCACUAAGGACCAUCAACAGUUCAAGAAAGACCAAAACCUGUUGUCUCCAGUGAACUGCUGGUAUUUGCUCCUGAACCAAGUGAGAAGAGAGAGCAAAGACCACGCCACUUUGAGUGACAUCUAUCUGAACAAUGUCAUCAUGCGGUUCAUGCAGAUAAGCGAGGACUCCACCCGGAUGUUUAAAAAGAGCAAAGAGAUUGCGUUCCAGCUUCACGAGGACCUCAUGAAGGUUCUGAAUGAGCUCUACACGGUGAUGAAAACCUACCACAUGUACCACUCAGAGAGCAUCAGUGCAGAGAGUAAGCUGAAAGAAGCCGAGAAACAAGAGGAGAAGCAGAUUGGGAGGUCCGGCGACCCAGUCUUCCACAUUAGGCUGGAAGAGAGGCAUCAGAGGCGGAGCUCUGUGAAGAAAAUUGAAAAAAUGAAGGAAAAGAGACAAGCAAAAUAUUCAGAAAAUAAGCUGAAAUCGAUCAAAGCCCGCAACGAGUAUCUCCUAACACUUGAAGCAACCAACGCCUCCGUGUUCAAGUAUUACAUCCAUGAUCUUUCAGACUUAAUAGACUGCUGUGAUCUCGGCUACCAUGCAAGUCUGAACAGAGCCCUCAGAACGUACCUCUCGGCGGAGUACAACCUUGAAACCUCCAGACACGAAGGCUUAGACAUCAUUGAAAACGCUGUGGACAAUUUAGAGCCCAGGAGUGACAAGCAGAGGUUCAUGGAGAUGUACCCUGCGGCAUUCUGCCCGCCAAUGAAAUUCGAGUUUCAGUCUCACAUGGGUGAUGAGGUGUGUCAGGUCAGCGCCCAGCAGCCCGUCCAGGCGGAGCUCAUGCUCAGGAACCAACAGCUGCAGUCCCGACUGGCCACACUCAAGAUCGAGAGCGAGGAGGUCAAGAAAACGACAGAAGCCACCCUCCAGACGAUCCAAGAUAUGGUCACCAUUGAGGACUAUGAUGUGUCUGAGUGUUUCCAGCACAGCCGAUCCACAGAGUCUGUGAAGUCCACUGUGUCAGAAACCUACCUGAGUAAACCCAGCAUCGCCAAGAGACGAGCCAACCAGCAAGAAACGGAGCAGUUCUACUUCAUGAAACUUCGAGAGUUCCUGGAAGGCAGUAACCUCAUCACAAAGCUGCAGGCUAAGCAUGACUUGCUGCAGAGGACUCUUGGAGAAGGCCAUAGAGCUGAAUAUAUGACUACAAGGCCUCCAAACGUCCCCCCUAAGCCCCAGAAACACAGGAAGUCCAGGCCCCGCUCCCAGUAUAAUGCUAAGUUGUUUAAUGGGGAUUUGGAGACAUUCGUCAAGGUACAGCACCUGCCACCAGCCGGUGGCUGACCUCCAUGCUUCUCAUUAUAAUGGCCUCAGCCUCCCGUGAAGGAGGCCGGUCAUUAUGUCCUGGGGCUCUUCAAUUCCCCAGAAAAAUCAAUAUAAUAUUUCCUGAAGUCAGAGGGAGAGAAGAUUGGGAGUGAGAGCCUUCUGAAGAAAAUUAAUGAAUGUGGAUGUUAUCAUGUGGCAAAAGAAAGAGUACUCUUUUCUUUUUCCAAGCCAAAAAUUGAAGGAAAAGGAAAAAGAUAAACAAGAUAAAAUAUUUUCUUGAGUUGUGCAGAUGAGACGGCACGGUGUACAUCCGUGUUUAAGCACACUCUCGUGACUUAAGGAAUUCAUUAUAUUGGAUACAUUUUGUACAGCCUUGAAGUCUGUAUCUUGUAUCUCUGCCGUGUUUACUCUCUCUCUUCUUUCUCAUCCUGUAUUUCUGAUAAUGCUUCUAGCCGGGGACGAAGGAACUCUCACGCAAGACAUCAGGACUCAGGCCAGGUUAUCCCUCUCAUUGUGGAAAGCUGCAUCCGAUUCAUUAAUCUCUAUGGCCUUCAGCACCAGGGGAUUUUCAGAGUGUCUGGCUCCCAGGUGGAAGUGAACGAUAUCAAGAAUUCUUUCGAGAGAGGUGAGAACCCUCUGUCCGAUGAGCAGAGCAACCACGAUAUCAACUCGGUGGCCGGCGUGCUGAAGCUGUACUUCCGAGGGCUGGAAAACCCCCUCUUUCCUAAGGAAAGGUUUACUGACCUGAUUUCCUGUAUCAGAAUAGAUAACCUCUAUGAGAGGGCGCUCCACAUCCGCAAACUCCUCCUGACCUUGCCCAGGUCGGUCCUUAUAGUGAUGAGGUACCUGUUUGCCUUCCUCAAUCACCUCUCCCAGUACAGUGACGAGAACAUGAUGGACCCUUACAAUCUGGCCAUUUGCUUCGGCCCAACACUGAUGCCGGUUCCAGAGAUACAGGACCAAGUGUCUUGCCAGGCACACGUGAACGAGAUUGUGAAGACCAUCAUCAUCCAUCACGAGACUAUUUUCCCAGAUGCUAAAGAACUGGACGGCCCCGUGUAUGAGAAAUGCAUGGCCGGAGGCGACUACUGCGACAGCCCCUACAGUGAGCAUGGUACAUUGGAGGAGGUGGACCAAGACGCCGGCACAGAGCCCCACACCAGUGAAGACGAGUGUGAGCCCAUCGAAGCCAUAGCCAAGUUUGACUACGUCGGGCGGUCAGCUAGAGAGCUGUCCUUCAAGAAGGGUGCAUCCCUGCUGCUGUAUCACCGAGCCUCCGAGGAUUGGUGGGAAGGCAGACACAACGGGAUCGAUGGCCUUGUGCCUCAUCAGUACAUAGUUGUGCAAGAUAUGGACGAUACAUUUUCAGACACGCUGAGCCAAAAGGCCGACAGCGAAGCCAGCAGCGGGCCAGUCACUGAAGACAAGUCCUCAUCCAAGGACAUGAACUCCCCGACUGACCGCCAUUCUGAUAGCUAUUUAGCCAGACAAAGAAAGAGAGGAGAGCCACCCCCUCCGGGAAGACGUCCCGGCAGGACCAGCGAUGGCCAUUGUCCCCUGCAUCCCCCGCAUGCUCUGUCUAACUCCUCAAUUGAUCUGGGAUCCCCAAACCUAGCCAGUCACCCCAGGGGCCUGUUGCAGAACCGUGGCCUCAAUAAUGACAGUCCUGAGAGGCGGCGCCGGCCGGGCCACGGCAGCCUGACCAAUAUCAGCCGGCAUGACUCCCUCAAGAAGAUCGACAGCCCUCCUAUCCGGAGGUCCACAUCAUCAGGGCAGUACACAGGCUUCAAUGACCACAAGCCACUGGACCCCGAGACGAUUGCUCAGGAUAUUGAGGAGACCAUGAACACUGCUUUGAACGAACUCCGUGAACUCGAGAGGCAGAGCACAGUGAAGCACGCCCCCGAUGUCGUGCUAGACACUUUGGAGCAAGUGAAGAACUCGCCCACCCCUGCGACUUCCACAGAAUCACUCAGCCCACUGCACAAUGUCGCCCUCAGGGGCUCAGAGCCACAGAUUCGCCGGAGCACCAGCUCCUCCAGCGAGACAAUGAGUACUUUCAAGCCUAUGGUGGCGCCCCGGAUGGGCGUCCAGCUGAAGCCCCCAGCCCUUAGGCCAAAGCCUGCUGUUCUUCCAAAAACAAACCCUACGAUGGGACCUGCCGCACCUUCCCAGGGUCCCACAGACAAGUCUUGCACGAUGUAAAAACAAAGGUCACGAGGGGAGGGGGGAUGUCUGAAGAUGAAAAUGAAUUAGUGGCAAGAGUGGGUGAUCCACAACCUUCCUUGGUCUUGCGCUUAUAACUGGAGAGUUUGGCUUUUCUAUGUUGUGUCGAAUGUAAUGAUGUCUGGGACUAGCUAAAUUAACAUGGGCAUUUGUAUUUUGUAAUUUUUUUUAAUAACUGGACAUUAUCGUCGUUUUAAAGACAAUAGAAACACUUAGACUUACUUGAAAAAUCCAAUGCUGCACCCUUGUAAUGAAGGCAACACCUCACCCAACACUGCGUAUGGCUUCAGAUUUAGUGUAGCCCAGGUGAGUGUCCCAGAAGCAAGAGAACCCAAAUCCCAGGUCUUACUGGAGUGUCAUCACCUGCCACGCAUGAUCUGUGACACUUGUGGGAUGAGCACUCGUUGCCUAGCAACCGACAACAAGCACCUCUAACCCUGUCCAGAGUAGCAGCCCGCACCUGAUGAAGGUCACAGAAGGAGGCUCCUGUGGGACCUUCAGUUCAUGGCUUGAAGGAGUUCAGUGGUGGACCCUUCCAUAAAACUCAUCUCCCUGGAUCCAGGUUAAAGACUCAGUGGAAGUGUGUAGAAGAUACUCGGACAUUGCUUGAACUGAAGCUAGAAGAGGCUGUAAGGGAAACUGUCUCCAUGCCUGUUGACAUGGUUCCCUCAAAGAACUCGAUCGGCCCCGGAGAAGUCCAAGUCCACCCCCCACACACACACUUACAAUGGACUAGAGCAGCCGAGUCAUAAGGACUUUCUGGUUACACCACAAACUCCUGCAGAUGUUUUCAAUAACUGCCUGAGAAAUAUGUCUGCCUUCCCCUACUCCCCCCUGCAACCAGACAGGAAAUGAAUCCUUGGUUCCUUUAUGCCACAAAGGCCCAGUGGUCCCCAAUCGGAAGCCCCAGCUCUGCUAGCCACAGCUCUCUCUGAGCCAAGCCAGAUCUGGCUACUGUACUGAGCGAGAGCCAUGUGAGGCCACCAUGGGAAGACGACCUUGUGGCGCCGGGAUGGUGCCUUCCCAGUUUUGUACCUCAGAAUCAUGACUUCUGUUCUCCUCCUGUUUGUGUUUGCCUUUUGAAUUUUGCAUUAUAAUCUCUACAGACCUCCUGUAGUCCAGUGGGCUCCACUGGGGACCUCUUUCCCUGGUAUUUUAGCAUAUAGCCAUUUUUCUUUAUCAUAUAUACUAUAUUUUUCCUCUAUCUUAAAAAAAAUAUGAUAGAUUUGUGUUUGUUUGGUUCUGGGGACUGACAGGGACUGCUUGCAUGCUAAGUAUACACUACCACUGAGCUGUACAUCCCAGCUCUUGCCCCUCCCCCCCAAGAUCAUUCUGGACACAACUGUUUUCAUUAAGAUACAAAUCACAAUUUUCCUAGCCGUAGCACCCGAACUUCCUGAUGAGGCAAACAGAGGGCUCAAAGCAAACCCCUUGGGACCCACCCACCAUUAAUUACCUUCUAGGUUUAAUUUCAAACUGGUGGUGCUGAUUGCAUUUGCAUGCCCACCUAAGAGUAGCACAGCACUGACAAUAACUCCUGCAGAAACCAACCAAGACCUGCGCUAAAGUCAAGGUCAUGACCCAUGGCUACCUCAGUUUGCCAGUAUAGUCAUUCCACUGCAGGAAAAAAUAUUGAUGAACUAUUCCCUUUCCAAGCCACUCUCCUCAUUUCACAAAUGUACCGAAGACAUACUCCCUACCCCCAGGUACUUCAAGUAUGGUAAAGUUUUAAACCUCAAAUUUUUCAGAACCAUUCUUUCUGACCAUUUUGCAAAAGAAGCCAUGGAGACCCAGCCAGGACUGCCCUUUGACUGACAAUGACUGCUGGUCUCUUUGGAAGUUUACUAUCUCCUAAAGGAACCCACCACUUAUUUAGAAAACAAUAACGAUUCUUAGAACCAUUUUUCCUUGACGGAUGAUACCAACAGGAGGCAGGAGAAACUGGCCGCCUUUUGAGUUCAUUUAUAAAGGCUUUUCUUAAGCUUAAUUUUAGCUUUUCAGAUCUUCCUUAGACAGCUCCCAGGCAAUCCCCUCCACCCACCUCCCCCCACCCCCCCCAGUCCAAGGCCUUCAGUGCUCCACCUAUAACUUUCUACCCCUAGGUCAGGACUCUGCUGCCUUGAAUAACAAAGGCCAUGCUUUUGUACUGCCAGGGCCUCUUCCUCUAGGAAAUGGCUCCUGGUUGACUCCAUCGCUCCUGUAUCUUCCUCAUCUUCUCUCCUGUACCUACUGUCAUUUCCAGGCUCACUUUGGUCUCAAAUGAAAGCAAAGAGUGUAGACGGUCUCCAGGUAAGCACCUUAACACUUAACAGUUAAGUCUCCUUUCUCAGAGAUGGCUCAACAGGCCUGUUUUCCCCCACCACUCUGACUUUGGUACCCUUUGAGCCAUGCACACAAUAGCUUAAGGUAAGGCAUCCCCCCUGCACAGAGGAUCCUAGAAACUGUCCGUCAAGCUCCCUAAAAGCUGCAGCCAUGGAAAAGGGUCGGCUUGCAGGGCCUGGUUUGAAACACAGAUGUAGCACAGCAGGAAGGUACAAGGAAACGAACCCCAAGGUGCUCUCACUUCUCCCUCAUUUCCAGGUCUCACGGUCCAUACAUACGUAGUUUAGAGAUAGGAGCAAAUGACUGUCAGCCGAGAUACCCGUCUCCACAUGCACUAAAGAUUCGUAGCUGAUAGAACCACGCGGUUUGCACCCCUGAUGGAGGUUUUGCAAAGCCCUGUGGUGUGUGUUUCGAGUUUGAGGUGUGGAUUGCUAGGACAUGGUGCUCAUUCUCUAGAGAGUGUCACAUAAACUUCUGAGGGCACUGUGUAAACCUUGAGUUCUUGUCACAAGCCACACCAUUGUUCAACAGUUUUCCUUGUGUUCACUCAACAUAAUCUGACGCCCAGUGCCCCACGAGCCAGCCACAGGACAAUUCAUAGUUGAGGUCUCACUCAUUCAACUACCAUAGUCAUGAGUAAAUACCAGUGGAUAAAGAGUUCCCAAGGGUCAGAUGGUCUCUCUUGAGUUUUCUGUCUCUGCAUUUGCCAGUCUCCAAGUGGCUCUAUAGUUUAACUAAGAAGCUGGGUUGGUAGUAGUGGCCUUAGCAUUUUGGAAUGCUCAGUCUCUGACGUCUACAUGCUGAAGGAAUCGUGAUCUAACAUCUGAAACCCAACAGUAAGGAGGCCAUGAGUCCAUUGAGAGUCUAUUUGGGUUGAUUUUUUUUUUCCUGGCCACAGUAGAAAAGACCAUGAAUGCAGGAACUGCAUGUGGGACGCCAUCUCUGGUAUCUGCCACUGAGACUCUGGAACACAGAGAGCCUCAAAGUGCAAAUAGAACCUCCUUCUUAAGACUGACCCCUGAGCUGAGAGCCCCCCACUCCCCCAAGCUCCAGCAGGCUGGAGCCUCAGGCUUGCAGCGGAUGACUUUGGCACAGACUGUAAAGCCAGAGACUGAGUUUCACCCAUCCUAAUAUACUUUAUUUAAAAAAAAAAAAAAAAAGUCUCAGUGGUAUAGUCACAAUGGGUAACUAACUGUAUCUUUAAAUUACAUAGGGAAUUUUGUUGUAUGUUUAAAUACCCGUACCCAGUUCCAUAUUGCUUAUCUUAGAAACUAGUAAAAGAAAACUAUAUAAACCGUGUGUUUGUGGAUGCCCCUCUGUAGAGCGUUCACUUAGGUUCCGUGUGUAGUGUGACGGUGAUCGUAGAUAUCGACAGCGUAGUAGGUGGCCGAGUCACAGGAGAGAUUGCUCUGUCCCUGCAUUCUGAACGUUAACUCCCGCCCACGUAAAUAAACCAGUAUUGUCCUUUCCUGUCGGUUUGGUCAGUUGCAGUACCGGUAGCUUUCUGCUUGUGACGGUUACCUAAGUGUGUCAAUGUACAUCUGUAGUAUGUACAUGUGAAAGUGCCUUCCUACCUUAGCGUUUAGCCUAGCUCUUGGACUGUGGCCCACUAGGUCCCGCCCACUUCCUUCAUUUCCAGCCACGCCCCACAGUGUUCUGAAACCCCCUCCGCUCCUUCCCAGCCUCUCCCCACCCCCAUCAUCCUCCCGUGCCUCUGUCACGUGCAUCUCGCAUCCACGUGGAUUACCGCACUGUCUUGUUGCCCUCCUAGACGUGACUGUGCCUUUCUCACCCCGCUGUGACUCCCUGCCGUCUGAUCCAACCUUCCCACCCACAGUGCCACUGCCAUCCUGUCCCUUGCUCUGUACCGGUUCUCUCUGAGGUGAGGAGAAAAGUGAUGCUUUUACAGUCCUGGAAGAAAUGAUGAUGUUUUGUUAAUUUGUCGUGACGAUGCACUUUUCUGUAUAGUACAGUACAUUUUUGGCAUGUACCAUUACAGGCUUCAGUAUACGGUCGGGUUUGUUCUUCAAGGUGUAGCUUUAUAAUAAAUAUGAUAGUUCUGGA